CAUAGGUUAAUGAGGCGAACCGGGGGAACUGAAACAUCUAAGUACCCCGAGGAAAAGAAAUCAACCGAGAUUCCCCCAGUAGCGGCGAGCGAACGGGGAGCAGCCCAGAGCCUGAAUCAGUGUGUGUGUUAGUGGAAGCGUCUGGAAAGGCGCGCGAUACAGGGUGACAGCCCCGUACACAAAAAUGCACAUACUGUGAGCUCGAUGAGUAGGGCGGGACACGUGGUAUCCUGUCUGAAUAUGGGGGGACCAUCCUCCAAGGCUAAAUACUCCUGACUGACCGAUAGUGAACCAGUACCGUGAGGGAAAGGCGAAAAGAACCCCGGCGAGGGGAGUGAAAAAGAACCUGAAACCGUGUACGUACAAGCAGUGGGAGCACGCUUAGGCGUGUGACUGCGUACCUUUUGUAUAAUGGGUCAGCGACUUAUAUUCUGUAGCAAGGUUAACCGAAUAGGGGAGCCGAAGGGAAACCGAGUCUUAACUGGGCGUUAAGUUGCAGGGUAUAGACCCGAAACCCGGUGAUCUAGCCAUGGGCAGGUUGAAGGUUGGGUAACACUAACUGGAGGACCGAACCGACUAAUGUUGAAAAAUUAGCGGAUGACUUGUGGCUGGGGGUGAAAGGCCAAUCAAACCGGGAGAUAGCUGGUUCUCCCCGAAAGCUAUUUAGGUAGCGCCUCGUGAAUUCAUCUCCGGGGGUAGAGCACUGUUUCGGCAAGGGGGUCAUCCCGACUUACCAACCCGAUGCAAACUGCGAAUACCGGAGAAUGUUAUCACGGGAGACACACGGCGGGUGCUAACGUCCGUCGUGAAGAGGGAAACAACCCAGACCGCCAGCUAAGGUCCCAAAGUCAUGGUUAAGUGGGAAACGAUGUGGGAAGGCCCAGACAGCCAGGAUGUUGGCUUAGAAGCAGCCAUCAUUUAAAGAAAGCGUAAUAGCUCACUGGUCGAGUCGGCCUGCGCGGAAGAUGUAACGGGGCUAAACCAUGCACCGAAGCUGCGGCAGCGACGCUGAUGCGUUGUUGGGUA
This 1026-nucleotide ribosomal RNA is filed under the name Escherichia coli. RNAcentral's name for it is "bacterial LSU rRNA". It matches the Rfam family "Bacterial large subunit ribosomal RNA", at positions 165 to 1230 of the family's 2925-position model. The record is from RNAcentral. RNAcentral also lists the same sequence under 1 other name. Lineage: Bacteria; Pseudomonadati; Pseudomonadota; Gammaproteobacteria; Enterobacterales; Enterobacteriaceae.